GAUACGAAAGCAGCUGACUUUCUUACCCGCGAUUUAAAGGCCACUGGUACCGUAGGCUCAGUACAGAAAUCUUGUGACUUAAGCAAUGGGUGCAGUUGCGUUGGUCAAGGAUGGGUUCAGAUUCUAGUUCGAAGACGAAUUAGAGAUACUUCGUGGAUUUUGAGACUACAAAGUCGGCCGAAACUCGAUGAAACACAAACUUUACUACCAGCGGUGGGAAAGACAGGGAUUUAUGAAAGUUUAAUUCCAUAACAAUCCUUUUGUAAGCCCAUUUAUUUUCUCAAACCUUCCCAACCUUCAAUUGUGCCACGCGUCACUAGAGUUGUCGAUGGGGAAAACUUUGUUGAAGUUUGCAAGUCAAAAGGCAAGUCGAUUCUAUCGCUACAAAAAUUUUUAGAGUUUGCAUUUUUAUUCUAAAAUCCAUUUUACUUCACAUAUUUCUUUAGUUGUUCAGUUAUAUUGGCAAGCAAUUGCUUUUGACUUUCAGGUGCGAUUUAUUACUAUAUCGAGAAUGGCUUGAUUGGCGAAGGUGGAUUUGGUGGAGUAUUCAAGGGUGAUGCCAUAAAAAGAACUAGAAAAACAUCGAUAAUUCUCACACAAUGUCUCUGCUUCGAAAAACAAGCAUUUUUCUUGGCAUUAUUGGCCAUAUUGCCAUGCUUCUGAGAUGAAUUAAGAUUCCCAAAUCAUACUAGGUUGCCAGCCCUUACGUUGAUUUUUCAGAAAAACCAUCCUGUUUUUCAUUUACCAAGAGAUCGAUCUUUCAAUUUUUACAUUUGAGACAAAGGGAUUCAGAUUAGAACAGAAUUUUGCAACAUUGCAUGGGGAAAGACAUGAGGAGAUUCAAUAAAUAAAUGAGAGACCAUGGUAACUGAGCAAGUCUGAUAAUUAGGAAGUUUUAGAUCAAAGAGGACAUUAUAUUAUAAUAAUGAUUAGCCUAAAUCUAGUUUUUCCAUGAAUACAUACCAUAUUUUAUGUGGUAUUAUCGGUAAAAGAUACAUGUAUUAAUAUAGUGUCACGACAACCAACCGUACAACGAGAGAAAGGCGAAAUUUUAAUUAAAAUUUCAAACAUCG
Molecule: long non-coding RNA, 1073 nt
Organism: Dendronephthya gigantea
Lineage: Eukaryota; Metazoa; Cnidaria; Anthozoa; Malacalcyonacea; Nephtheidae
Exons: 2
Source: RefSeq, a predicted model, not a curated record